Molecule: unclassified non-coding RNA, 229 nt
Filed under: plant metagenome
Description: partial contains small subunit ribosomal RNA, internal transcribed spacer 1, and 5.8S ribosomal RNA
Source: RNAcentral
UCUCCGUAGGUGAACCUGCGGAGGGAUCAUUACAGAGUUUUUGCCCGCAAGGGUAGAUCUCCCACCCUAUGUUAUUCCUUCUCUGUUGCCUUGGCGGGCCGUCCGGCCUCGGUCAGGCCACCGGCUCCGGCUGGUGCGCGCCCGCCAGAGGACCCCAAACCCUAAAUGUCAGUGUCGUCUGAGUACUAUAUAAUAGUUAAAACUUUCAACAACGGAUCUCUUGGUUCUG